ACGCUCUCCUCAUACUCUGCAACUGACUAGCUAGCAGUGCUUCAUGCGCAUGUGCGACUCCCAACAAAGAUGCAACAAAAGUGCGAUGCCUCACUCUGUCGCUAAAACAGAGAGCUCAACACACAGGGUGAAAAGAGGAGCUGCAGCAAUGUGCAGUACA
Molecule: long non-coding RNA, 160 nt
Organism: Etheostoma cragini (Arkansas darter)
Lineage: Eukaryota; Metazoa; Chordata; Actinopteri; Perciformes; Percidae
Exons: 3
Source: RefSeq, a predicted model, not a curated record